This 968-nucleotide long non-coding RNA is filed under the name Gorilla gorilla gorilla (western lowland gorilla). Its description in RNAcentral is "lncRNA (ENSGGOG00000044553.1)". Lineage: Eukaryota; Metazoa; Chordata; Mammalia; Primates; Hominidae. The record is from RNAcentral.
GUUAUGCCUAGGUGAAUCAAAAAAACUGAAACCAAGUAAGUCCUAAAUGUUUCUUAUAAUGUCAUUCAUAUUUCUUGCCUUUCUCCACUAUUUGAUUUGCAGGUACUUUAAGAUGCUACGCAGCCAUUAUCCUGAGCUGACAUGCAGCCGAUUACACCAUUUCUAAGACAGAAGUCCUCAUGGUCACCUUAGUUCCUUUGGAAGCUGAGAUUGACCAGAAGAGGAAAAUGAGAAUCACAAUGACAGAGAAGCUGUAGCGUUAGCUUAAGGAGGAGGCACUCAUUUAAGGACCAAUCACUCUUCUACCUAGAGAGCAGAAGGUUCUGGAAAACCUUCAAAGACCUCCUCUUCUCUCCUCAAUAACUCUUCCAGUCUGCUCAAGGGAAAAUUGCCCUCCUUGGUAACUUUAGUCAGUCAAUUUACCCUAGGAGAAAAUAAAAUAAGAUUUUCUAUUUCAUAGUCCAUUUGCAGAUUUUGCCUUUUGAAAUUCUACCUUUCGGAGAGACAGUCUAUAUAUGAUUGAACUUCCUCUUAGCUCAAUUCCAAAGAUGAACAACAUAAUUACCUCAAAUGAAACAGCACUCACAAAGGUUACAUCUUGCUAUUUGUCUUUGGGUAUACAGCACUUCUUCAUGUCUCUGCUGUUGGCCAAGACUGUUGGUCUUCACACUGUGUUCCCUGAGUCCCUACUCACUCCAGCCUCUACUUCGCAAUUACAGCCUGGCCUCCAUGCAAAAUGAAGAAAGUUUUCCAACACCACCAUGGGGGAUAAUACUGGGAAAGCCACUGGCUUUUGCAUGGCGCCACUGGAGUACGAACCCAGAGCUCCAGCACUCUCGAACUUCAUCUCCAGCCCUGGCCUCAUCUGCCCUUACUCUGAAUUUGCUUCCCCUCCAUUUCCCUGCCCUGAAUUGUUUCUUCCUCUGUAUUAUCAUCUCCUAGUCUCAUUCUGCUGAUGUUCCAUUACA